UGUUCGCCCGGGUACUACGAGCCCCAGCUUAAAACCCAAAGGACUUGGCGGUGCUUAAGAUCCACCUAGAGGAGCCUGUUCUAGAACCGAUAACCCCCGUUCAACCUCACCUUUUUUUGUUAAUUCCGUCUAUAUACCGCCGUCGUCAGCCUACCCUGUGAAGGCCCCACAGUAAGCACAACUGGCACAGCCUAAAACGUCAGGUCGAGGUGUAGCAUAUAAAAAGGAAAGAAAUGGGCUACAUUCUCUAGCCUAGAGCACACGAAAAAUGAAAUGAAAUAAACAUUAGAAGGAGGAUUUAGCAGUAAGGGAGGAACAGAGUGCCCCCCUGAAAUUGGCCCUAAAGCGCGCACACACCGCCCGU
Molecule: ribosomal RNA, 364 nt
Filed under: Derilissus lombardii
Lineage: Eukaryota; Metazoa; Chordata; Actinopteri; Blenniiformes; Gobiesocidae
Description: partial small subunit ribosomal RNA
Rfam family: Bacterial small subunit ribosomal RNA
Source: RNAcentral